CAGUAGCCACGGUAAUACAGAGGGUGCAAGCGUUAAUCGGAAUUACUGGGCGUAAAGCGCGCGUAGGUGGUUUGUUAAGUUGGAUGUGAAAUCCCCGGGCUCAACCUGGGAACUGCAUCCAAAACUGGCAAGCUAGAGUAUGGUAGAGGGUGGUGGAAUUUCCUGUGUAGCGGUGAAAUGCGUAGAUAUAGGAAGGAACACCAGUGGCGAAGGCGACCACCUGGACUGAUACUGACACUGAGGUGCGAAAGCGUGGGGAGCAAACAGGAUCAGAUACCCCCGUAGUCCCUGUCUCUUAUAC
This 301-nucleotide ribosomal RNA is filed under the name uncultured bacterium. Its description in RNAcentral is "partial 16S ribosomal RNA". It matches the Rfam family "Bacterial small subunit ribosomal RNA", at positions 509 to 807 of the family's 1533-position model. The record is from RNAcentral.